This 1034-nucleotide long non-coding RNA is filed under the name Astyanax mexicanus (Mexican tetra). Its description in RNAcentral is "lncRNA (ENSAMXG00005001558.1)". The record is from RNAcentral. Lineage: Eukaryota; Metazoa; Chordata; Actinopteri; Characiformes; Acestrorhamphidae.
CCUUAACGGUUUUCAUGUCUUUAAUAUAAAUCUACAAUGUAGAAAAUAAAUCAAAUAUAGAAAAACAUUGAAUGAGAAGGUGUGUCCAAACUUUAGACUGGUACUUUAUAUAAAUGUAAUCUCAUUUUGCUGACCUGUUCAGUAUAUCAUCCAUUGUGUUUACCUGCAUUUGUGUUUAUUUACAAAAAAAUAAACAAUACAACUUUAUCUAGUUGCAGAGUGACCAAUGAAUGCACUGAUAACUUUAUUAAGUGGUUAAGUAAUGUCUCAACUAAUUACUGACUCUGAGACUUUAUUAAACAUUACUUAUUUUUAAUGCUUAAUAAUGUUAUUGUAUUGAGACAAUAGUUACAAUGUUGUAAUGUCUAGUGCCAAUUAAUAAUUAGUUGAGGCAUUCUGUUGUAAGUACUGCUUUCUUUUAUACGGUAUAAAUUAAUUUACUUUUUUUUUUUUCAUUUUAUUCCAAUUUGUCUAGGCCAACUGUUCCACCCAUUUAGCUGUUACCCAACUGUAUAUCCAAUUUUUGGAUUGUGUUGGUUGGAUUGUGCACAUGCCUCCUCCAACACAUGUGAAGCCAAUCACUGCCUCUUUUCGAUCUGCUGAUGAUGCAGUAUUGCAGAGUAGCAUCACAGCGCACUCAGAGAAAAGCACAGUGACUUCCAAUACAUCAGCUCACAGACGCCUUGUGCUGAGCUACAUCACCCAGAAAGAGCAAGGCCAAUUGUGCUCUUUCAGGGCCUCGGCAGUUGGGGUAAGCUGCAAGACAGGGAUUCGAACCACUCAGCGGCCCCUCAAAAGAAGAGAAUUCUACUUGUUGUGCAGCUUUUCGGCGUAAAGAACUGACCAAGAAAGAAAAGACACGUCCAGCAUUUCCAAAUACAGACUUUUGUGAGAAGUCUAAAGUGAUACGUAGGCCAUAAGAGGGAGGAGUCUCUGUGUCCUGUUAGCUGGUUAGGAGGUGUUUAAGGCCUAGGGAUGGGAGGAGGUUGCCUUUGGAAAAACAAAUAAAAUGCACUAUGCACAAAUAAACGACA